GAUGAAGAACGUAGCGAAAUGCGAUAAGUAAUGUGAAUUGCAGAAUUCAGUGAAUCAUCGAAUCUUUGAACGCACAUUGCGCCCGCCAGUAUUCUGGCGGGCAUGCCUGUUCGAGCGUCAUUUCAACCAUCAAGCCCCCGGCUUGUGUUGGGGACCUGCGGCUGCCGCAGGCCCUGAAAACCAGUGGCGGGCUCGCUGUCACACCGAGCGUAGUAGAUUUUCAUCUCGCUCAGGGCGUGCUGCGGGUUCCGGCCGUAAAAAGCCUUAUUUACCCAAGGUUGACCCCGGAUCAGGUAGGAAGACCCGCUGAACUUAAGCAUAUCAAUAAGCGGAGGA
Molecule: unclassified non-coding RNA, 336 nt
Filed under: soil metagenome
Description: partial contains 5.8S ribosomal RNA, internal transcribed spacer 2, and large subunit ribosomal RNA
Rfam family: 5.8S ribosomal RNA (bases 1-120)
Source: RNAcentral